AGUACUACACAUCGAAUUUGUCCGAGACUGGAGGCCACCCUUAAGAUGAUUAGAGAUAGGUCCCUAAUUCAUGAUUGAAUGUGUUUGCAUUAGCAUGACCCCUAUAGUGGGUUCACUUACUGAGUAUUUCUUAGCCGUGUGCCAUAUUGGGAUCAGGGACUGUGGC
This is a long non-coding RNA of Cucurbita maxima (winter squash), 166 nucleotides long. RefSeq lists it as uncharacterized. The record is from RefSeq and is a predicted model, not a curated record. The transcript has 3 exons. Lineage: Eukaryota; Viridiplantae; Streptophyta; Magnoliopsida; Cucurbitales; Cucurbitaceae.